AUGCCGUCGCACUCGGAUCUGGACCGGCAGAUCUCGCAGCUGCGGGACUGCAAGUUCCUGCCGGACGCCGAGGUCAAGGCGCUCUGCGAGCAGGCCAAGGCGAUCCUCAUGGAGGAGUGGAACGUGCAGCCCGUGCGCUGCCCCGUCACCGUCUGCGGCGACAUCCACGGCCAGUUCUACGACCUCAUCGAGCUCUUCCGCAUCGGGGGCGACACCCCCGACACCAACUACCUUUUCAUGGGCGACUACGUCGACCGUGGCUACUAUUCAGUGGAGACUGUUUCAUUAUUAGUGGCUCUCAAAGUUCGUAGAGACAGAAUCACAAUAUUGAGAGGAAAUCACGAGAGCCGACAAAUCACUCAAGUGUAUGGCUUCUAUGAUGAAUGCUUACGAAAGUACGGAAAUGCAAAUGUCUGGAAGUACUUCACAGAUUUGUUUGAUUAUUUGCCUCUCACAGCUCUUAUAGAAAACCAGGUGUUUUGCCUCCAUGGUGGUCUCUCUCCAUCAUUAGAUACAUUGGACAAUAUUCGUUCUCUUGAUCGCAUACAAGAGGUCCCGCAUGAAGGACCUAUGUGUGAUCUUUUGUGGUCUGAUCCUGAUGACCGAUGCGGGUGGGGAAUUUCACCAAGAGGAGCAGGCUACACAUUUGGACAAGAUAUAGCACAACAAUUUAACCAUACAAAUGGUCUUAGCCUUAUUUCAAGGGCCCAUCAACUUGUGAUGGAAGGGUUCAAUUGGGCACAGGAGAAGAAUGUUGUCACAGUUUUCAGUGCGCCAAACUACUGUUACCGGUGUGGUAACAUGGCUGCGAUUCUCGAAAUUGGGGAGAGCAUGGAUCAGAACUUCCUCCAAUUCGAUCCAGCGCCGCGGCAAAUCGAGCCAGACACAACGCGCAAGACCCCCGACUACUUUUUGUAA
This 918-nucleotide ribosomal RNA is filed under the name Triticum aestivum (bread wheat). RNAcentral describes it as "partial small subunit ribosomal RNA". The record is from RNAcentral. Lineage: Eukaryota; Viridiplantae; Streptophyta; Magnoliopsida; Poales; Poaceae.